GACUCUCGGCAACGGAUAUCUCGGCUCUCGCAUGGAUGAAGAACGUAGCGAAAUGCGAUACUUGGUGUGAAUUGCAGAAUCCCGUGAACCAUCGAGUCUUUGAACGCAAGUUGCGCCCGAAGCCGUCACGCCGAGGGCGGGCCUGCCUGGGCGUCACGC
RNAcentral lists this ribosomal RNA (159 nucleotides) under Acacia debilis. RNAcentral describes it as "5.8S ribosomal RNA". It matches the Rfam family "5.8S ribosomal RNA". Rfam says of the family: 5.8S ribosomal RNA (5.8S rRNA) is a component of the large subunit of the eukaryotic ribosome. Lineage: Eukaryota; Viridiplantae; Streptophyta; Magnoliopsida; Fabales; Fabaceae. The record is from RNAcentral.